This 305-nucleotide ribosomal RNA is filed under the name uncultured bacterium. RNAcentral's name for it is "bacterial SSU rRNA". It matches the Rfam family "Bacterial small subunit ribosomal RNA", at positions 337 to 638 of the family's 1533-position model. The record is from RNAcentral.
ACCUACGGGGGGCAGCAGUGAGGAAUAUUGGUCAAUGGGCGGAAGCCUGAACCAGCCAAGUCGCGUGAGGGAAUAAGGCCCUACGGGUCGUAAACCUCUUUUGCCGGGGAGCAAGGGCGGGGACGUGUCCCGGCCCGGAGAGUACCCGGAGAAAAAGCAUCGGCUAACUCCGUGCCAGCAGCCGCGGUAAUACGGAGGAUCCGAGCGUUAUCCGGAUUCAUUGGGUUUAAAGGGUGCGUAGGUUGUUUUAUAAGUUAGCGGUGAAAUACCGAUGCUCAACAUCGGGGCUGCCGCUCAUACUGUAG